GCCUGUGGUGACCCUACAUUUUCCUAUACCUUUUAAAGAAUGGGAAACCUCACAGUAGAGCACUAUCUGCUACAUCGCUGCUAUUGAAGAGUGAAUGGUCAAAAUUUUGCCUAAGUCACAGGAACAUCUUGUAUGGUCGGUUAUUCACUGCAGCCAACAAAGGACUACUUACGCAUUUCCUCAUGUUCCGCCUCUUCUGGUGCUCGCUGGUUUGUUUCUCGAAGCGUGGCAUGACCAGCACUGAGACAUGUUGAGGAAGCCAAGCUCACUAUUUCCCUGGCUGCAGGACACAGGAGCUUGGGGAUGCUUCACCCACAUGGGAUAUGAUGUCCAGAUGACUGUGGAGAGAAGCCAGAAAGCAAGCAGGGCUGUCUGUCUCCUCUUUCUGAAAGUGAGCUUCUUGCAACAUGGACUGAGAUGUGUUAUCCAAAAGGUGAGAAGAAGCUGUGCCCAGCCACUGCCCAGGUGGCACCUGCUGUAUGGCAGCAUGGAGAUUGCCAGUCCCACAGGGGAUGCCAGUCUCAUGGAGGAUAUGAGUCACACAAAGCAGGUUUGGAGAAGCCUUGCCCUCUGGCUACCAAAGCAAGGUAACCCUGCCACAACACCACAGCAGGUGUGCAACAGAUGCAUGGAAGAGUCAGAAAAUUGGUACCUUUUGCAGACAGCUGUUUUUAUGUCAAAACCAUGUAAAAUGAAGAUAUUUGAUCCUUCUGACUUCAUAGCCACUGUUAAACAUCACUGCUGUAGCUGCCUGUCCAUCCAAGUACCCCAUUUUUUACAAAUCAGAGAUUGGCUUUAGGACAUGAUUACUCUGGCCCAACUUGUGCAAUUUUUCAAGAACAUCUGAAUAAAAAGAAUAAUUGCCUUAUUACUUAUAAACUCCAAAAGUGGUGAUGAUGCUAAGGAAGCCUGGGACAAAAAAACAGGACACUGUUCCUCUUGGGACCCUGUGAUGACUGAUGCAAAACUCCCCAUAACAACUAAGCAACUUUCUGUGUGAGAAGAUAUUAGAUUAUGGUGACAUUGACCCGUGUUUGUCUGCAUUUGUGAGCGCCUCUUCUGUGCAUGCUCUUGCCUCUUCCUUGGCUUAUGUGAGCUGGGUUGGUGCAACCAUCUGGAUCCAGGCAAAGACAGAGCCCUUCUGAAGUCCCAGAAGAUGUGCUUGUGCCACCCCCUUUGCCAAUAGAAGUGUGAGGGGGAGGAGAUCACUUCCCUUGGAGAAGUCAUGGCAUUUAGCUGGAGUCAGCAUGGUUUUCCAUCAGCUGAUCAGUUUGCAAAGGGAAUGCCUGGCUACAAGCAAGUCACACAGAGCAGCCAAAACAAGAUGGGGAAAUGACAGACAGAGCUUGGUGGGGCGAGCCUUGCCCUUUGAGCUGCCUUCCUGUGCCUGCCCUCCUGCAGAGACUCUUUCCUUGCAGCCUCCUCCUGUUCCCUGGCUCCGAGAGCCUGCAGAAGUCCAGCCUACAUUCGCCACAUGCCGUGGAAAAAUGAGUCAGUCAUUAAGGCUUUUAACAAUGAUGGAAGCACAACUGACACACCUGUGUCUAGUGCGUGGGAUAGGAGCAGCAGAAAAAUGUUGUACAAGUGACUGAUGUGCCAAAUUUCAUUUCACUUGUUGCAAAGAGAAAUUAUGUCCAUUAUCGUUGAGCAGUAGGCAAUUUUUAAUAGGUUAUUUUGUUAGCUGCAAUUUUAUAGUAAUCUGUUCCACAAAUGAACCAGUCUGCAUUCUUACAGGAGAAAAAAAAUUUUUUUUUAGAAAGACUAAGAUAAAUGAGGCAUGUUUAGCUAUUCUGGUUCAUAGAAUUGAUUUCUCUGUCUUUCAGGAAAGAUGGGCAUUUGAUAGGAAACUUCUGUCAUUUUUUCCCUCAGCUUUGUAGGGGAUGAAUUUGCCUCUUAUGUAAUUAUUCCCAUGUACCAAAGUUAGUGGCUGCUGGUCUUACAAUUGCAGAAUGAAGAUAGAUGAUCUUGAGAGUGAUUUGGGUGAGGAAGGAAAGGCCUGCUCAUCUUUGAGUCAACUAGAUCCAGGUGCUGGAUUUUGCAUGCUGUGGGGUUUGCCUGUAUUUUGUUUGCUUGUUUUCAAGAAGUUUACAGUGCCUCUGUAUCCUUCAUUCUCAGUGAAGAUCUGGGGCUUUUCUGGUAUGUAAACAUUCAUGGAUUAUUGUGCUUCAAGGUAUGAAUUAUUCUCAUAAAUGACAGCUAGACUCUCUCAGCCUAAGAAAGACAUCUUCUUCCACUCGGUUUGGAGUCACUCUGUUAAGUGCAGGACCCUCAGGCUGGGUUUGCAGCCCUCCCUGCUGCUUCCACCUGUUUGUGUCAUCUUCCACCAGAAAAAAUUGCUCAUUUUAGCAGAUAGAGACCCAGUCACAAUAUAUAUGGACUGAAAAGUGUGAGAACCAGAGGGGUUUUUUUCAUACCACUUUCCCCUUGUCCCUGGCUGUGGUUGUGGGUGACCCAGUGAUGCAUUGAAGGAUCUCAACUGACAGCACUAAAAACAACCAUUAUAGACCUACUUUCUUACUGUGCUGAGAAAGAAAGACCUGCAGGGUACCCAGGGCAUCACCUGCUGCCCUGGCCAGAGCCCUGCCCAAAAACCUCUCCCCUUGCCCCUCCCUUACUGCUGAUUUGCAUAGAAGGAGAUAGCACUAUGAGCUGUUCAUGUGUUACCUCAAAUCCAAGGGAGGCAUUGGGAAGUAUACAGCAUACAUAUACUAUAAUUAUUAUAAAUAUGCUAAAUAAUUAAUUUGGGAAGUAUAUAGCAUAUAAUUCCCUGUAACAGUUCUCUGCCAUCCAGGAAAGGAUGGUUUCUGGAGUGCAUCCUGGUUGCUUAAAGAGAGCAGAGAAUUUGUAGCUGGAAUUGCUCAGGGCAUACAAAGGCUCUGGCAGACUGAAAGCAAAACCUCUCUGCAGGAAACAUUUGGCAUCUCUUCUCCCCAGAAGCCCAUAUACAGUGCAUAAGGGGGCUCUGCAAAUACUCCCAGCAUAUUCAACAGGAGCAGUCUAUAGCUGUUUGCACUACAUCUAACCAAGGCAUCUGUUCAUCUUUUUGUCAUUCUUCUUUGUCUUGUAUCACAGAAAAGCACAUCAAGAAUUAAGAUACAAUGAUAGAUUUCACUGUGGUUUUUUUUUCUUUUUCUUUUUUUAGCAGCUAAUUUAGAUAUUUAGAUUUAUAACACCAAGUAGGGAACAUUUUAUGGGACCUCUGACUUAAAACAUUGGCAACACAUCAUUGAAGAAGUCUGCCUUUCCUUUUCAAAAAAACAUGGAAAUAUCAAGCUGGAACAGCCUGAGAUGGUCAGCCAGCUGUUUGCUAUUUGAAUCCCAUGAAAACUCAAAUACAGCUGCAGGUUCAACUUUGUUCUGGUCAAAUAUGGCAGUCCUGGAACGUGCUCCUUUACACUGGGGCAUGAAUAGUGUCAAAAUUAAUGCUAUUCUCUUACAGUAUGGAUUAAAAGCUGUUUGACAGCUCCCUAAAGGCAUGAGUGAAUGAGGAAUUAUUCAGGAGUGGAUUUCUCUCUAAGGAGGUCCCACAAAGAUCAAUUACUGACUCUUUUUUUUUUUUUUUUUCUACUGAAUAUUUUAAUCAGUGAUUUGGGGAAAGAACCAAAAAAAAAAUCCACAAAUAGGAAACUUGCAGGUGGGGAAAAAAAUCAUGCACUACUUUGAGCAGAAGAAACCCAAGGGCAUUUUAACACAGCCAAAUAUGAAAUUGAAAACCUGUAACUGCAGAGUAUAGGUUGUAUUUACAGAACUCUAUCUUGCAGGUAUAUUGAGAUAUCCUGGAAAUGACCUGAGCAUUUAAAAUAUGCCCACUGCUAUUCAAUAGCUCAUGCUGCACCAGCAGGUCUGAACAAGCCUUGAUCAGAGGCUGUAGAAUCAAGACAGGCUCUAGGAAGAGGAGCAGAAGGGGGAGGAGGAGGAGGAGGAUACAUCCAUCAUACCUGCAUCAAAUAUGAUUAUUGCCACAGUGGACUAUCCAUUACUUGUUACCUGGUCAAGCAGGACAUUGAGAAUAUGAGGAGUGUUCAAGAAAAAAGCCAAAAGACAAGGAAUAUGAUCACAAAAAUAUGCUAAAAAAUUAAAUAAUCCAGAAACCCUAUCAGUUUUACUUAAGCAAAAGGAAGAAAUACGAUCGCAGUCUACAAUUAGUAAAGUAAGGAACAGAAGUUUGAAGGCUCUUUGUUCUGCAAAGAAAAGUGUAACAGCAGGCAGUGCCAGGUGUUGAAAACAGAAAACUUCAGAUGAGAAACAUGCCACAAAUUAAGUAUGUGAGUUCUCUGAGUUUGCUUAGCUUACUGGUUUCUAGGGUACUGGAAAUUUUAAAAUUAAUUUAAUGUCUUCUGGAAUAGAUGCUCUUGCUCCAAUUAAUUUGAAGAAAGCUUAUCAUCUGCCAUAUGCAGACAGUUAGAGAAAUGGUCACUCACAGUUCCCCCUGGACUUCUGAGGAUAAACCCCAAGUUAUUACCAAUGCUCGAUACUUAUUUGAUGCAGCACAGAGCUCUGUCACCUAUAUGUGAGAGCUGACACAACCAUGUCCUAGUGCAAGAAGGGCUGGCUUGCUUGUUUGCUUGAGCUGAGACACAUAAAUUCUGCUUACAGCCUAUUCUGGGCACCAGUUCCAUGGGCAGCGUCCUCGGCGAGGGGGCUCAGGCUUCUUGUGCUCCCACUGCUGCUGCCUGGGAGCUAGAGCAGGGCAGGCUGUCUGUGGCUGCUUGUGUCUCCUUGCCAGGGACCAGGGAGACACCCCACGCUUCAUAUGAUCCUACCAGGAUUUGUGAAUAAUAAAGGCUCACUUUGUAGAGAACGGCCUCAAUGUUCUCCCAAAUGCCGGAAUUAAUUCUAGCACCAUCCAUGCGGCUCUUAGCAAAGAGAACAAAAGGUCUUGGAAAAGCUCUCGAGCUAGUUCAGUGCAAAAAACAACACAUUAAUGUAUAAGAAAGGAUGAGGCAGGAAGAUUUUUGUGGUUAAAUCAGUUGGUAACAUCGACAUCCUGCACAAACAGCAUUGUUGGUUUGUUUUUGGGGGUUUUUUUUGUGCUCCUUUUCUUUUUUGGGAGUCCUGUAUCCUUGGUCAGAAGGAAAUGCCAUCCUGGGGUGAGACUACUGGAAGCAGAAAAUGGGUUUUAUUCAUACUGAGAAUCCCAAACCAUGUCAGUGCUAACAAACUGGAAAGAAAAAAAAAAAAAAAAAGAAAUGAGGAAGCUGGUAUAUGUGUAAGGCACACUGUGAAUAAAACUAAUUCCCACUCUGAACAACAGUGGAUCUCACAAAAGCCUCUCUCCUUUGAACAGGAAAGCCUGAAUGAACUAAGAUAUUGUGCCUCUCAUAUAACCUUUUUGUGUGAAUGAAUCAUAGUUCUGGUACAGAAAGUUAAAAAGAGAUCUUUUAAAAAAACUUAUAGUGAGUUAACCAUAAAAUUUCCACUUAAAUCAUGCAAUAAGUUCUUCUUAUUAAUCUUCACAUUUCAAAUUGACCAGUACUAUUCCCUCUUGUUUUGGUCUCAUUUUAUUUCCUGUGUCAAGCCAAAAACCUGGAAUUCGAGAGUUUCUUUAAUGUAUGCUGUGUGUUGAUAUUUGCAUAACAGUAACUUUCAGGAAGGCACUUAUUUUCCACAAACUGCACAGCUUCCUCACACGGUAUGAAAAUCUUGAUUGGAUUUAUUUCCCAUUAAAAAUUCUGUCCCUUAGGCACACAACCCUGCAGAUAGAUCAGCAAACCUUCAUUUUCAUUAACAGUCCCAUUGAGGUAAGCACAGCAACCAAAGGGUGUUGGGUGUAAGCACACACAAACCCAGGCUCUCUUGUGUGAUUAUCCAUUCAUAGCUCAGACAGAUGAAGGAUGGGGGCUAGAACGAGGGGGAUGCCCCAUGACAGCUGUCUGACACAGCUCUCAGCUGUGAACCUGGGCUCUGUUUGAGAAAUGACCCUGUGAAUGGUCCAACAAUGCUCAAAAUAUUGAUGUCCAGUGUCAUGUUUGACCUGCACAGUGUGCAAAACUUGGUUAUAUUCAUUGUGGACAAAACGGGUUUUUCCCAAACAUUAAUAUUCUUCACUAGUAAGUGAUAAUUAAUAGAUAGUGCUAAUCUACUACUGAGAAAUUAUUCUUCAUUUCAUGUUGAUUAAAUUAUAGGACUUCCAGAAAUAUAUAUAGUAUUAUAUAAUGUUAUUAUAUAUAAUAUAUAAGUUAUUAAUAAAUCCAACUGAGAAAAAAUAAUUAAAUCAUCAUUACACUCUUAUCACAGGUCCAAAAUACAGACUUCACUGAAAUCUAAAGAGAAAUUAUUAUCUACACAGGGAGAACUACCAGUGAAGUUAGAGCAUGGUUCAUUGCUUCUGUUAACUGAAGAGUUUAAGGCAGAUAAUUUACUUCACAACUGGCAUAUUAGGUUGCUCAAGCUAAGCCAUUGCUCGGUCUUGCACCAUUUUUGUUAACAGACGUCUGUAGAAGAAAUGUUUAAUCUCCUGAAGUUAACAGUAAAACUCUCACUGAAAUACCUUCAAAUGAGGUGCAGAUUUUCCAAACCUAUUUGCAUUUUGGAACUGGAAAAUCAUUGUUUGCAUCAAACCUUCUCCCAAUGCAGAGGCACCACCAGCAGCGCUCUAGGGUACUUCCCACUGUUCCAUGAACAAGACAACUUACUUUUGUCCCGCCAGCAGCUUGUGACAAUCAUCAUCAUCAUCUUCUCAAGCAUGGUGUGCCAAGGUUCAUUUCCCUUCCCCACACCACAAAUCAAGUGUGCUGGCCACGUGGCAGCAGCUCUCUGGCUACAGAGAGCAGCACACAACUUUCCCAGGCAUCAUCCUGGAAAAGGCUGUGAGAAGAUCAGAGAUAAGAAUGACGAACAAUUCUUAUCUUCACUUGCUGCACCUGUUGUUGUGAACAUGUGGAAUGUAUUAUGGAGUUUUGUUUACCAAAGGGUGGUUUCUUGAUGGCCAAUGGUGAUGGUGUUUGGACUGAAGGACCAAUUGGUUCCACCUGUAUCGUGACUGUCUGUAAGGGCGAUGGGUUUCUUAAUAAGUACAAUAGAAUAAAAUGAUUGAUCAGCCUUCUGAGAAGCAUAGAGUCAAUGCUAAUUAUUGCCCAGCCAGGGGCACACUGCUGCGACACACUGGCCAUGCUCUGCAGAAGCCACAGAUGCAAACUCUCUGGGAAGAAGGAUGCCCUGUCACCCUGCCAGCUCUAAUGUGCCUCUCUGUGACGCACUGAGUAUGUACCACAAGCUCUUUGAAGUCUGCCUGCGUGCCGACUUUGGCCAUCUUCCCUCAGUCUUUUGGUAUAAAAUAUACAGUGCAAUAUCUUGAAUCUUUUUCUGUGCCUGUUCCUCAUUAGGCAAACCACAUAUUAUCAUAGCAAGCAACCCUCCCAGCCAUAAUUAUUCAAGCCAUUAGGUCUUUUUCAGCCUUCAUUACUCAGUCACACAGAUUUUCCUUAUGACUACAUUUGUUACUCUUAUUUUGACACAUAAAGACAUGCAGUAUGUGAUGAUGACUCAGAUGUCGUUAUCCUCAAAAUGAUUGUCUUUAAAUACAUGGAGUCUUUCAGCGUCCAUAUACAGUCCUCACUCUGCAAUUCACUUCCUGCAAUAAUUUUUGCAUGCUUGUCUUUCCAUUUCACAUAUAUAAAUUUCUUGUAUUAAAGCUGAACAAAGUUAAUAAUCCUGAAAAUGUUCAAAAUCAAAAAGCAUUAUAGUUUUAAAGCAGUAAAAAUGUUAAAUAACCCUUUUGAAAGUGUGUAUUAAUCUCUAUUUGCAUAGCCUCUGAACUUUAACACUCCUUUAUUUUCAUUAGAGCAAAAUUGGCUCCUAACCAUAAACCCAAAAAUAAGGUGAUUAUAUAAUGUACCUAAAGACUCCUGGCAUUUAAAUGAGUUGGGCUACCAUAGCUUUUUUUCUCACAAUUUAUGCAGGUUUGCUUCUAUGCCCAUGCCCAUCUCAUCUCAUAUUAAUGCAGCAGCAUCCAGAGGGAAGAAGUUGGGACUGAAAUGCAGGUGCCUGUCCUGUCCCACACCCUGCUCAAACACAGAAUCCAGAGGUACUUGCCCCAAAACUUUUCAGGCCAAAAGGGCAGGAGAAGCCGAGUGAAGGAGCAGAGGCUCAGAGGAGCUGCAGCAGCUCCUCUGACAUGCUGAAAAGCCCAGUGCUAUGGUCAGGUUUAAGAUGCCUUGUUCCCUUCUACUCCAGUGCAAACCAGGCUUGAUUUCACUAAGAUUCAUCCUAUGAAGCUCCUAGUUCAGGGCAGAGUGGAAAUUAUAGUUUCUUUGGCUUAGACUGCUGGGGGUUUUGCUUCUUCGUGGUCUUGUCAUUCUUGCUCUUCUUUUUCUGUUCUAAUGAGAGCAAGUGUUCUCCCCUUUCCUUUCUCCUUGUUUGCAUGCAUUUCUUUCCCUCUCAUUUAACACUGAAAAAAAAAAAAAAAACAAAAAACAAAAAACCAAAAAAACAAACCAAAGAAAAGCCUUUCCUAUUUAAAGUGCAAGAAAGGCUUCUGAACAAUUACUUGUACAAGGAAGUCAGUUCUCCUUUUCUCCUUUUCAUCUUCCUGUGAGUUUCACCAUGCUCCUAGAUGCCUGAUGAUGUCCUUUUUCCUUUUUUUCAUGGUGUUCAUUGGCAUCCCCCAUGAGGCAACCUGCUGCCAUUCUGACCACGUCCCUAAGCUGUGCCUGCCCUUGCAAUCAUGAGCUUCUUCUAUCAGGUCUGUUGUCACCCUGUGCUGUCCCAGAACUCAGAAGUCCUUUUCAUCUUUUUUUUAACAACUCUGACUUCAGUGAGCUACAGUUGGAAAGAGAUGGCCUGGUGCCCAGGAGCAGUAUAACAGCGUUUGAGCAGGAGCUUAGCAAAGGUCCUACUCAGCAAGGUUACUCUCAUAUUCUGUCUCAGAUAGAUGGAGAAGGCUGAACAUUUCCUGGGCUCAUGCCUUCCCACCUGCCCUCCUUACUUAGGGCAGAGCUGCUACCAGGAGCCUCUCAGUUUUCCAAAACCUUUUUACUCUGCCUCUGUGAGUCCACCUUUCAGAGUCUGCUUUUAAGAUUCAAAACAAAUGUUUAAAUUUGUGUUAACGAUGUCUCUUAUUAUGCUUCCAGCACUAAUACUUCAUACUUUACCCUCCUUACCAUCUUCACUACUCACUGUCCCAUACUGAGUAGGCAGUGUUCUGAUUUUAAAGAGAGAAAACUUUUAAGUGUGCGGAGCACUUUGUCUUUCCUUUAUGACAUUGCAAAGUGCCAUGGUCACAGAUAUUUAGAUAUGAAAAGACUCAAUUUAUAUUAAGCAAAUGACACUACUGGGCUGUCCCUGUUUUUACUCCUACUAAUUUUAGUUCAAAGUAUUUUUCAGUACAGUACCUCUGCAAAAUUAAAGGGUUCCACUUGGUGACUGGCACUUAGGGGAGAAAAGAGAAAAAUGGCAGCAAACCUUGUCUUUCAGACAGACUUAAAAGCUGCCAUAAUUAUUUCCACGUCUUUGUACUCCUGAAAAUUACUAUUUUAACCUAAAACUUAGAAGUAUGAAGAGACAAAUUAAGUAUUUGCCUUGAGGUCCAUUCUGGAAGUGGAGAAGAGGCAUUUCAGACCCGUUUCUGAGCCCACAGCGUGAUAGCACAGCCCAAGGAAUGGGGGUCAGUUUUGCCCAGAGAUGGCUAUUCCCAGAUGGAAAUGCCCUUUUAUAUGUGUCCAGCUCAUCCAGGAUGGUGUGCUGGCCAGCUGGCACAGGCACUUUUAAUGCUGGUACCUCCAAAACCAGUUUUCUUGAAGGAAGGGUCUCUUUAGGUACAUGCAAUGAUGUACCUAGAUAUGCAUUCAGAGCACAGUCCAAUCUACACACAUUUGAUUUAGCCAACGCUCUCUAUGACUUUGUGUGCUCAAAAGAAAAUGUUGUUGUAUUAAAAAAAAAAAAAAAGUCUGUAAUACUUCAAGAAACUCACAGCCCUUAAAAUUAGAUUUGCCUGAAUAGGCAGCAGCCAGAAAAAAACUCCCUUGUUUCCUCUUUUGUCCUUGCCUGGCCUCUUCCAUCUUCUCUGCUCUUUUUGUCUGGGCCCUUCCUGAAGCUUUUCUGAAUCAUGUGUUAUUGCAUUUGACAUUUUUGGUCUUGGGCUGCGUCACUGAUCACACAGAGAGGAAUUCAACAGCCUGGCUUCCAGGCUAGGCUGCAGUUACCUGAGGUGACUGCUGUACCCUGAAUCAAGCACUUCUCUGUUUUCUCCUGUGUUUGAACUACAAUCCCAAACAAGAACCUUGAACACAUAAUUUAUCAUCAUACAACCAGCAAUACGCUUCAGCAUCUCAUCUGAAUUUGUACUUUGGCCCUGCAGUUCACUUCUAGGUGCUUUCAAGAGGUUCUUGCAUAUUUCUGUGGUGUGCAGGAGUGUUUGACGAUUUAUGGUUUCUCAGUGGCAUUUUCAUAAAAUGAUUGCUAAAAAUUAGGUGUUGGCAUUUCUACUGCAAUAAAAACUCGGGUGAGUUUUUCUUGUGUGUGGAAUGAUUUAUCUCGCUUUUUCUUUUGAAACCCUGAUUUACAGUUAAAAUGGGGAUCACAUCAGAAGUUGGUUAGCCAGAAGCAAGCCUCAUGUAGAUUCUUUUUUUCCUUAUUUCUAGCUCUGUUACAGCCACUAUUGUCUUUUUAAACAACCUGGGUACAGACAGAUUUAAUAUUCUGACAGCUCAGAGUAUAUCUCAAGCAGCAAGGAAAAUGCCAUUUGUGGUUUCGGUUUUAAUAUUUAUUUGGGGGUGUAUUGAUUAGAAAAUCUAUGGUUAAAGUCUGUAGGGCUUUCCUGUGGUUUGACAUUGGACUGUCACUUUAGAUUUCCUGAGAAAUCUAUAGUAUUUAUUUAGUGGCUUGAUGCUAUUUAUCCUGCAAAGAAUUUGGUACAAAGUGGGCUAAGAGGAAAGACAAUUGUCAUUCUAUUUGGCUUCAAGUUUGCAGUGUUACAGUCUAAGAAUCAUAUAUUUUCUAUAAUUUUCUUGAGAGUCUUUUGAACUCAGCAUGGAUAUUUUUUUCUGACAUAAAGUUCUUAAAACUGGGCUUUCAAAGAAUGCAUCAGUUUAAUGCUAUUCUUCAACAUAUAGUGAGUAUUGCAAGGAACAUCAACAUCAGAAAAAUUGCUGCACUUAUUUCAACAUGCUAACAGCUGGGAUUUUGCUUACUGCCAGAAUUAGACCUUUGUUAGUGUUGUGCAUCUACAGGUGCGAAGGAUUUACAAAGAAGGGGGAAUUGUCAGACCAGUGAAUCAAUCUGAGUCAUACAGAAGAACAAUCUUUCAGUGUCACCGACAAAUUCAGCUGCUCACUCCAUGAAGCUGAAAUCCAUGACAUAGUUCAUUUUUCAGCUGUUGAGCACAUUCACAUAAUGUAGCUCAUUCACUGUGUGUUGCCUACUUCACGUAUGAAUGUGCAUUCACUUGAAAAGCCCAUGAAUACCCUUAGGUUUACAACACAGAUAUUGUAGUGUGGUACAUUCAGCUUAUCUGCAUAGCUCUAGGACUCGUGUGGCAGCAUGAAUUAAUCAGAAAUAGAAUGGUUUCCAACUUGAAAAGAUACCAAAAUGCUAUUAA
Long non-coding RNA from Taeniopygia guttata (zebra finch), 11536 nucleotides. RefSeq lists it as uncharacterized. NCBI's taxonomy places the organism in Eukaryota, Metazoa, Chordata, Aves, Passeriformes, Estrildidae. The record is from RefSeq and is a predicted model, not a curated record.